GAUGAACGCUGGCGGCGUGCCUAAUACAUGCAAGUCGAGCGAACGGACGAGAAGCUUGCUUCUCUGAUGUUAGCGGCGGACGGGUGAGUAACACGUGGAUAACCUACCUAUGAGACUGGGAUAACUUCGGGAAACCGGAGCUAAUACCGGAUAAUAUUUUGAACCGCAUGGUUCAAAAGUGAAAGACGGUCUUGCUGUCACUUAUAGAUGUAUCCGCGCUGCAUUAGCUAGUUGGUAAGGUAACGGCUUACCAAGGCAACGAUGCAUAGCCGACCUGAGAGGGUGAUCAGCCACACUGGAACUGAGACACGGUCCAGACUCCUACGGGAGGCAGCAGUAGGGAAUCUUCCGCAAUGGGCGAAAGCCUGACGGAGCAACGCCGCGUGAGUGAUGAAGGUCUUCGGAUCGUAAAACUCUGUUAGUAGGGAAGAACAUAUGUGUAAGUAACUGUGCACAUCUUGACGGUACCUAAUCAGAAAGCCACGGCUAACUACGUG
This 497-nucleotide ribosomal RNA is filed under the name uncultured bacterium. RNAcentral describes it as "partial 16S ribosomal RNA". It matches the Rfam family "Bacterial small subunit ribosomal RNA", at positions 28 to 507 of the family's 1533-position model. The record is from RNAcentral.